This is a long non-coding RNA of Triticum aestivum (bread wheat), 635 nucleotides long. RefSeq lists it as uncharacterized. The transcript has 5 exons. Lineage: Eukaryota; Viridiplantae; Streptophyta; Magnoliopsida; Poales; Poaceae. The record is from RefSeq and is a predicted model, not a curated record.
UGGGAGCGGCCGAUCGAGGCGACGCCAUGCGCAGGAGUGCCGUGCCGAUCAACGCGACUACGCCGGCUUCGUGAAUCCAUCUCGGCAAGAACGUGAUCUACUUUGUCCAAUCGUUCGUCUACACUUCAGAUUGCAGCCAAUACUAGUUCUGUCUGGGUUUGGAAAUCAAUUUUCUGGGGGUCAAGAUGUCAUGAAACUCGGCUUGGUGCGGAGGAUAGGAGAUGGCAGAAUCCCGAAAAUGCUUGGAAUGAUAGUUGGCUGCAAAGAGAUCACAUGCUUCUACUGCCUAUGGGUCGUUGAGGUCGGGUGUGGCAACUCGUGAUGCGGUGCCGUAGGGCACCGGCGGCGACAACAUCACCUGCAUCGACCUCUCGCUGGUCGCCGUCCAAGUAUGCGCGACCAAGCUGCAAGGUCACCGUUGGAAUCCGUUUUUACCUGCUUUACUGCCUUGACUUGAUUCGGCCAUCAUCACAAGCAUGUGCACAGCUAGACCUUGAUGCCACAGCCAUAAGGACCUGCAGGUAUAAGUGAUACAUGCAAAAUUUGCGAGGAAAAAAACAUUUGAGGGCUUGGGCACACUGUUAGUAGUAUACCAGGAGGAGCCUAGCAAACCAUGGUGGAGUCCCCUUGUAAAG